RNAcentral lists this ribosomal RNA (245 nucleotides) under uncultured bacterium. RNAcentral's name for it is "partial 16S ribosomal RNA". It matches the Rfam family "Bacterial small subunit ribosomal RNA", at positions 524 to 766 of the family's 1533-position model. The record is from RNAcentral.
UACGUAGGGGGCGAGCGUUGUCCGGAGUUACUGGGCGUAAAGGGCAUGCAGGCGGUGGUGCGCGUGUGCUCUGACAGCGCCUCGCUUAACGAGGCGAGCAUGGCACAGACGGCACGACUUGAGGGCGCGAGAGGGACACGGAAUUCCGGGUGGAGUGGUGAAAUGCGUAGAGAUCCGGAGGAACACCGCAGGCGAAGGCAGUGUCCUGGCGCGUAUACCUGACGCUGAGGUGCGAAAGCCAGGGG